CAAGUCGAACGCCAGCGAAAGGUGCUUGCACCUUUCAAGUGAGUGGCGAACGGGUGAGUAACACGUGGACAACCUGCCUCAAGGCUGGGGAUAACAUUUGGAAACAGAUGCUAAUACCGAAUGAAACUUAGUGUCGCAUGACACGAAGUUAAAAGGCGCUUUGGCGUCACCUAGAGAUGGAUCCGCGGUGCAUUAGUUAGUUGGUGGGGUAAAGGCCUACCAAGACAAUGAUGCAUAGCCGAGUUGAGAGACUGAUCGGCCACAUUGGGACUGAGACACGGCCCAAACUCCUACGGGAGGCUGCAGUAGGGAAUCUUCCACAAUGGGCGAAAGCCUGAUGGAGCAACGCCGCGUGUGUGAUGAAGGCUUUCGGGUCGUAAAGCACUGUUGUAUGGGAAGAACAGCUAGAAUAGGGAAUGAUUUUAGUUUGACGGUACCAUACCAGAAAGGGACGGCUAAAUACGUGCCAGCAGCCGCGGUAAUACGUAUGUCCCGAGCGUUAUCCGGAUUUAUUGGGCGUAAAGCGAGCGCAGACGGUUGAUUAAGUCUGAUGUGAAAGCCCGGAGCUCAACUCCGGAAUGGCAUUGGAAACUGGUUAACUUGAGUGCAGUAGAGGUAAGUGGAACUCCAUGUGUAGCGGUGGAAUGCGUAGAUAUAUGGAAGAACACCAGUGGCGAAGGCGGCUUACUGGACUGUAACUGACGUUGAGGCUCGAAAGUGUGGGUAGCAAACAGGAUUAGAUACCCUGGUAGUCCACACCGUAAACGAUGAACACUAGGUGUUAGGAGGUUUCCGCCUCUUAGUGCCGAAGCUAACGCAUUAAGUGUUCCGCCUGGGGAGUAC
RNAcentral lists this ribosomal RNA (843 nucleotides) under uncultured bacterium. RNAcentral's name for it is "bacterial SSU rRNA". It matches the Rfam family "Bacterial small subunit ribosomal RNA", at positions 58 to 883 of the family's 1533-position model. The record is from RNAcentral.